UAGGGAAUAUUAGUAAUGGGCGAAAGCCUGAACUAGCAACGCCGCGUGUGCGAAGAAGGCCUUCGGGUUGUAAAGCACUUUUUGAGAGGAUGAGGAAGGACGGUACUCUCAGAAUAAGUCUCGGCUAACUACGUGCCAGCAGCCGCGGUAACACGUAGGAGGCGAACGUUAUCCGGAUUUACUGGGCGUAAAGCGCGUGUAGGUGGUUUGGUAAGUAGGGCGUGAAAGCUCCUGGCUCGACUGGGAGAGGCCGUUCUAAACUGCCGAACUAGAGGAUGGUAGAGGGAGGUGGAAUUCCGGGUGUAGCGGUGGAACGCGCAGAUAUCCGGAGGAACACCAGUGGCGAAAGCGGCCUCCUGGACCACUCCUGACACUCAGACGCGAAAGCUAGGGUAGCAAACGG
Molecule: ribosomal RNA, 403 nt
Filed under: uncultured bacterium
Lineage: Bacteria
Description: bacterial SSU rRNA
Rfam family: Bacterial small subunit ribosomal RNA
Source: RNAcentral